GUGAAAUUUGAUGAUUUUGAUGCAGCAGUUGGGGCACUUAAUGUACAUUGUACCCACUGGACCUUGGUGUUUCUAAAUGCUGCUUCAAAAGAAGUGUCAGUUGUAGACCCUUUAGGUUCAAAUGAGGAAGAACAGACUAAGACAGCAGGAGAAAGAUUUAGGAGGUUCUUCCAAAUGCGCCACAACAUUCUGAGCAGAAAAGACUGGAGCAACAUCAGAUGGAGGCCAAAGAAAAUUAGACACACAAACCAGCAGGAUGGAAAUAGUUGUGGGGUUUUUGUUAUGAAGUUUGGCGAGGUAAUACUGUCAGAAUUCCCUGAUGUCCCCAACUAUAUUUCCAUCGAUGGAAGCCUGGAGGCAGUAACUGAAAUUAGGCAACAGAUGGCAGCUACUAUUUUAGCAUCUUCCGGUAUUAACAGUUGUUCAUUUAUUGUGAU
Megalobrama amblycephala (Wuchang bream) is the source of this 437-nucleotide long non-coding RNA. RefSeq lists it as uncharacterized. NCBI's taxonomy places the organism in Eukaryota, Metazoa, Chordata, Actinopteri, Cypriniformes, Xenocyprididae. The transcript is spliced from 4 exons. The record is from RefSeq and is a predicted model, not a curated record.